GACGAACGCUGGCGUCGUGCUUAACACAUGCAAGUCGUACGGUAAGGCCCUUUCGGGGGUACACGAGUGGCGAACGGGUGAGUAACACGUGAGUAACCUGCCCACAACUUUGGGAUAACGCUAGGAAACUGGUGCUAAUACUGGAUAUGUGCUCCUGCUGCAUGGUGGGGGUUGGAAAGCUCCGGCGGUUGUGGAUGGACUCGCGGCCUAUCAGCUUGUUGGUGGGGUAGUGGCCUACCAAGGCGGCGACGGGUAGCCGGCCUGAGAGGGUGACCGGCCACAUUGGGACUGAGAUACGGCCCAGACUCCUACGGGAGGCAGCAGUGGGGAAUAUUGCACAAUGGGCGCAAGCCUGAUGCAGCAACGCCGCGUGCGGGAUGACGGCCUUCGGGUUGUAAACCGCUUUCAGCAGGGACGAAGCUUUUUGUGACGGUACCUGCAGAAGAAGCACCGGCUAACUACGUG
RNAcentral lists this ribosomal RNA (465 nucleotides) under uncultured bacterium. RNAcentral's name for it is "partial 16S ribosomal RNA". It matches the Rfam family "Bacterial small subunit ribosomal RNA", at positions 28 to 507 of the family's 1533-position model. The record is from RNAcentral.